GAUGAACGCUGGCGGCGUGCCUAAUACAUGCAAGUCGAGCGAACAGACGAGGAGCUUGCUCCUCUGACGUUAGCGGCGGACGGGUGAGUAACACGUGGAUAACCUACCUAUAAGACUGGGAUAACUUCGGGAAACCGGAGCUAAUACCGGAUAAUAUAUUGAACCGCAUGGUUCAAUAGUGAAAGACGGUUUUGCUGUCACUUAUAGAUGGAUCCGCGCCGCAUUAGCUAGUUGGUAAGGUAACGGCUUACCAAGGCAACGAUGCGUAGCCGACCUGAGAGGGUGAUCGGCCACACUGGAACUGAGACACGGUCCAGACUCCUACGGGAGGCAGCAGUAGGGAAUCUUCCGCAAUGGGCGAAAUCUUGACGGAGCAACGCCGCUUGAGUGAUGAAGGUCUUCGGAUCGUAAAACUCUGUUAUUAGGGAAGAACAAAUGUGUAAGUAACUAUGCACGUCUUGACGGUACCUAAUCAGAAAGCCACGGCUAACUACGUG
This 497-nucleotide ribosomal RNA is filed under the name uncultured bacterium. RNAcentral describes it as "partial 16S ribosomal RNA". It matches the Rfam family "Bacterial small subunit ribosomal RNA", at positions 28 to 507 of the family's 1533-position model. The record is from RNAcentral.